AUUGAACGCUGGCGGCAGGCCUAACACAUGCAAGUCGAACGAGUGGCGGACGGGUGAGUAAUGUCUGGGAAACUGCCCGAUGGAGGGGGAUAACUACUGGAAACGGUAGCUAAUACCGCAUACCAUCGGAUGUGCCCAGAUGGGAUGAGCUAGGAGGUGGGGUAAUGGCUCACCUAGGCGACGAUCCCUAGCUGGUCUGAGCGGAUGACCAGCCAAACUGGACCGGAGACACGGGCCAGACUCCUACGGUAGGCAGCAGUGGGGAAUAUGGCACAAUGGGCGCAAGCCUGAUGCAGCCAUGCCGCGUGUAUGAAGAAGGCCUUCGGGUUGUAAAGUACUUUCAGCGAGGAGGCGUUACUCGCAGAAGAAGCACCGGCUAACUCCGUGCCAGCCGCCGCGGUAAUAC
Molecule: ribosomal RNA, 406 nt
Filed under: uncultured bacterium
Lineage: Bacteria
Description: partial 16S ribosomal RNA
Rfam family: Bacterial small subunit ribosomal RNA
Source: RNAcentral